This 700-nucleotide ribosomal RNA is filed under the name uncultured bacterium. Its description in RNAcentral is "bacterial SSU rRNA". It matches the Rfam family "Bacterial small subunit ribosomal RNA", at positions 8 to 704 of the family's 1533-position model. The record is from RNAcentral.
AGAGUUUGAUCAUGGCUCAGAUUGAAGCGGGCGGGAUGCUUUACACAUGCAAGUCGAACGGUAACAGCGCUCUUCGGAUGCUGACGAGUGGCGAACGGGUGAGUAAUGCAUCGGAACGUGCCCAGUCGUGGGGGAUAACGCAGCGAAAGCUGUGCUAAUACCGCAUACGAUCUAUGGAUGAAAGCGGGGGAUCGCAAGACCUCGCGCGAUUGGAGCGGCCGAUGUCAGAUUAGCUAGUUGGUGGGGUAAAGGCCCACCAAGGCGACGAUCUGUAGCUGGUCUGAGAGGACGACCAGCCACACUGGGACUGAGACACGGCCCAGACUCCUACGGGAGGCAGCAGUGGGGAAUUUUGGACAAUGGGCGCAAGCCUGAUCCAGCAAUGCCGCGUGCAGGAAGAAGGCCUUCGGGUUGUAAACUGCUUUUGUACGGAACGAAAAGGUCUGGGUUAAUACCCUGGGCUCAUGACGGUACCGUAAGAAUAAGCACCGGCUAACUACGUGCCAGCAGCCGCGGUAAUACGUAGGGUGCAAGCGUUAAUCGGAAUUACUGGGCGUAAAGCGUGCGCAGGCGGUUUUGUAAGACAGGCGUGAAAUCCCCGGGCUCAACCUGGGAAUGGCGCUUGUGACUGCAAAGCUGGAGUGCGGCAGAGGGGGAUGGAAUUCCGCGUGUAGCAGUGAAAUGCGUAGAUAUGCGGAGG